CCCCUCUCGGGUUACCGAAUUCAGACAAACUCCGAAUGCCAAUUAAUUUAACUUGGGAGUCAGAACAUGGGUGAUAAGGUCCGUGUUCGAAAGGGAAACAGCCCAGACCACCAGCUAAGGUCCCAAAAUAUAUGUUAAGUGGAAAAGGAUGUGGCGUUGCCCAGACAACUAGGAUGUUGGCUUAGAAGCAGCCAUCAUUUAAAGAGUGCGUAAUAGC
RNAcentral lists this ribosomal RNA (217 nucleotides) under Vibrio cholerae O1. RNAcentral's name for it is "partial 23S ribosomal RNA". It matches the Rfam family "Bacterial large subunit ribosomal RNA", at positions 925 to 1141 of the family's 2925-position model. Lineage: Bacteria; Pseudomonadati; Pseudomonadota; Gammaproteobacteria; Vibrionales; Vibrionaceae. The record is from RNAcentral.